This 468-nucleotide ribosomal RNA is filed under the name uncultured bacterium. RNAcentral describes it as "partial 16S ribosomal RNA". It matches the Rfam family "Bacterial small subunit ribosomal RNA", at positions 28 to 507 of the family's 1533-position model. The record is from RNAcentral.
GAUGAACGCUGGCGGCGUGCUUAACACAUGCAAGUCGAACGGAAAGGCCCAAGCUUGCUUGGGUACUCGAGUGGCGAACGGGUGAGUAACACGUGGGUGAGCUGCCCUGCACGUCGGGAUAAGCCGGGGAAACUGGGUCUAAUACCGGAUAGGACGAUGGUUUGGAUGCCAUUGUGGAAAGUUUUUGCGGUGUGGGAUGAGCUCGCGGCCUAUCAGCGUGUUGGUGGGGUAAUGGCCUACCAAGGCGUCGACGGGUAGCCGGCCUGAGAGGGUGUACGGCCACAUCGGAACUGUGAUACAGCCCACACUCCUACGGGAGGCAGCAGUGGCGAAUAUCGCACACUGGGAGCAAGCCUGAGGCAGCGACGCCGCGUGGGGGAUGAGCGCCUUCGGGUUGUAAACUCCUUUCGCUAGGGAUGAAGCGUUUUUGUGACGGUACCUGGAGAAGAAGCACCGGCUAACUACGUG